GUUCCCUGGUCCAGGCAGCAGUGACUCAGCCGCCCUCGGUGUCGGUGAACCUGGGAGAAACCGUCCGGAUCACCUGCUCGGGGCUUGAUAGCAGCUAUGCUUAUGCUGGCUGGUACCAGCAGAAGGUCCCUGGCACUGCCCCUGUCACUGUCAUCUACAAGAACAACCGGAGACCCUCAGGCAUCCCUUCGCGAUUCUCCGGAUCCACAUCUGGCACCACGUGCACAUUAACCAUCACUGGGGUCCAAGCCGAGGACGAGGCUGUCUAUUACUGUGGUUCCCUGGUCCAGGCAGCGCUGACUCAGCCGCCCUCGGUGUCGGCGAACCUGGGAGAAACCGUCCAGAUCACCUGCUCGGGGAUUAGCAGCAGCAGCUGGAAUUAUGCCGGCUGGCACCAGCAGAAGGUCCCUGGCACUGCCCCUGUUACUGUCAUCUACUGGAAUGACAAGAGACCCUCAAACAUCCCUUCGCGAUUCUCCGGAUCCUUGUCUGGCUCCACGGGCACGUUAACCAUCACUGGGGUCCAAGCCGAGGACGAGGCUGUCUAUUACUGUGGUGGCUGGGACAGCAGCAGUGGUGGCUAUGUUGUCUGGUGA
This is a non-coding RNA of Pterocles gutturalis (yellow-throated sandgrouse), 596 nucleotides long. The record is from the annotation of a RefSeq genome assembly. Lineage: Eukaryota; Metazoa; Chordata; Aves; Pterocliformes; Pteroclidae.